GGGAAAGCUAAGCCACAGGAGGAAAUGGCACUCUUGAAGCAGGUCGCCAGGGGCCUAAGCAGGCCGUCCAAGGGGUAGGGUGCAGGUAGGGUAGUGUGGCAGUCAGUCCUGGUCUGCGCUGGUGUCACUGGUCAGCAUCUGUGGACAGGGAAGGGCCAGCUGCUCCCUGAAGCACCUCCCACUCAGCCUCUCCUUCCUGGAGCUUCUCACCACUCUGAGAGUCCUAGACUUGCCUAAGAGGGGAAGGCAUACCCCUGGAACUAUUCCACCCCAUACUUAGAAGCUAGGUGCUUAGAAGCACCCAGCGCCCCUCUUUAGUGUAAUCUAAGCCCCUCAUCCUAUAUCUCCAACUCAGCAGUUCUCAAACCUGGUAGAGGAACAGAAUUUAUUGGGGAGCCUUUUUUUUUUUUUUGAGACAGAGCCUCA
Molecule: long non-coding RNA, 426 nt
Filed under: Homo sapiens (human)
Lineage: Eukaryota; Metazoa; Chordata; Mammalia; Primates; Hominidae
Description: non-protein coding lnc-TPST1-2:1
Source: RNAcentral